UCCGUAGGUGAACCUGCGGAAGGAUCAUUAUUGAAUAUUCUUGAUGAGUUGUAGCUGGCUCUCCGGGGCAUGUGCACGCUUGUCUUGACUCUAUUCAUCCACCUGUGCACCUUUUGUAGUCUUGGGGGUUGAAAGCAGUCGACUAUCGGAUGGCUACGGCUACUCCGGAUGUGAGAAAUGCUGAGCGCAGAGACGCAUACAGCUCUUCUCAAAUGACUUGCAUACCCUUGAGUACUAUGUAUUCAUAUACCAUGUCGUAUGUUGCAGAAUGUGAUCAAUGGGUCUAUGUACCUAUAAUAAUCAUAUACAACUUUCAGCAACGGAUCUCUUGGCUCUCGCAUCGAUGAAGAACGCAGCGAAAUGCGAUAAGUAAUGUGAAUUGCAGAAUUCAGUGAAUCAUCGAAUCUUUGAACGCACCUUGCGCUCCUUGGUAUUCCGAGGAGCAUGCCUGUUUGAGUGUCAUUAAAUUCUCAACCCCUCCAGCCUUUGCGAGUUGUGAUGGGGCUUGGAUAUGGGAGUUUGCGGGUCCUUUAUCAGUAAAGGUCGGCUCUCCUGAAAUACAUUAGCGGAACCGUUUGCAGUCCCGUCACUAGUGUGAUAAUUAUCUACACUGUGAUGAUUGCUCUCUGACUAGUUCAGCUGCUAAUCGUCCGGUAUGGACAACAUUUAAUGAACUUCUUGACCUCAAAUCAGGUAGGACUACCCGCUGAACUUAAGCAUAUCAAUAAGCGGAGGAAAAGAAACUAACAAGGAUUCCCCUAGUAACUGCGAGUGAAGCGGGAAAAGCUCAAAUUUAAAAUCUGGCAGUCUAUGGCUGUCCGAGUUGUAAUCUAGAGAAGUGAUGCCCGCGCUGGACCGUGUACAAGUCUCCUGGAAUGGAGCGUCAUAGAGGGUGAGAAUCCCGUCUCUGACACGGACUACCAGGGCUUUGUGGUAUGCUCUCAAAGAGUCGAGUUGUUUGGGAAUGCAGCUCUAAAUGGGUGGUAAAUUCCAUCUAAAGCUAAAUAUUGGCGAGAGACCGAUAGCGAACAAGUACCGUGAGGGAAAGAUGAAAAGAACUUUGGAAAGAGAGUUAAACAGUACGUGAAAUUGCUGAAAGGGAAACGCUUGAAGU
This 1114-nucleotide ribosomal RNA is filed under the name uncultured fungus. RNAcentral's name for it is "eukaryotic LSU rRNA". The stretch from base 680 to 1114 matches the Rfam family "Eukaryotic large subunit ribosomal RNA", at positions 1 to 429 of the family's 3401-position model. The record is from RNAcentral. Lineage: Eukaryota; Fungi.